GCUUGGGAAUAUGCCUUUAGGUGGGGGACAACAGUUGGAAACGACUGCUAAUACCGCAUAAUGUCUACGGACCAAAGGAGGGGAUCUUCGGACCUUUCGCCUUUAGAUUAGCCCAAGUGAGAUUAGCUAGUUGGUGGGGUAAUGGCCCACCAAGGCGACGAUCUCUAGCUGGUCUGAGAGGAUAAUCAGCCACACUGGAACUGAGACACGGCCCGGACCUCCCUACGGGAGGCAGCAGGUGGGGAAUAUUGGACAAGUCGGGGGAAACCCUGAUCCAGCCAUGCCGCGUGUGUAGAAAGA
RNAcentral lists this ribosomal RNA (300 nucleotides) under uncultured Colwelliaceae bacterium. Its description in RNAcentral is "bacterial SSU rRNA". It matches the Rfam family "Bacterial small subunit ribosomal RNA", at positions 115 to 415 of the family's 1533-position model. Lineage: Bacteria; Pseudomonadati; Pseudomonadota; Gammaproteobacteria; Alteromonadales; Colwelliaceae. The record is from RNAcentral.